Molecule: long non-coding RNA, 1396 nt
Organism: Parambassis ranga (Indian glassy fish)
Lineage: Eukaryota; Metazoa; Chordata; Actinopteri; Ambassidae
Source: Ensembl
AAGCUUUAACACUUUGAUUCAGCCAAUCAGCAUCUGUCUGUGCCUCUCUCUCUCCCCCUCUCCUCUCUAACGUGUUACCAAGACAUUUUUCCUGUUACAAACCACAGCUGCUGCUUCACCUCCAUGUUGGGCGGAGGUGUUGGGCCGUCCGUGUCACAUCGGGCUGAGGGACGAUGGGCCGAGGACGUCUCCUGUGGAUCCUCUGUGUGACCCGGCUGCUCGGCUCCACCACAAACCCAGGUCAGUGAACCUCUUCGACAUGAAGGUUCUGUCUGACAGAAGACAACCUGAUCUUUGUCCUCUCUGUCCUCACAGCUGGUCUGAAGGUGAGUCCCAGCAGCUCUCAGCUGUUUGAAGGAGACUCUGUGUCUCUGAGCUGUGAGGAGGACGACAGCUCUGCUGGAUGGACUCUGAGGAGAAACACCACCAGAGACUCCAGGACUCCGUGUGAAGACUGGGGAGAAGCAGCUGGUUCUUCCUGUGAGAUGCGCUACCUCCUCCCCUGGGACAGUGGAGUGUACUGGUGGAGUCCAGACAGGGACAGACCAGCAGCAACCUGACUGUCUCUGGUAAGAUGAGCCUGUGGACUCAGUGCUGAUGAAGCUGUGUGUGUCUGCAUGAAAUGCUGUAGUGUGUCUCUGUGUGGAGGUGGAGCAGUGAUCCUGCAGAGUCCUGUCCUCCCUGUGAUGGAGGGAGACCCCGUCACUCUGACCUGUACAACAAGGCCCCCUGCCUCCACCCUCCCAGCUGCUUUCUAUAAAGAUGGCUCCCUCCUCAGCACUCAGCCUGCAGGUCACAUGACCAUCCUCCAUGUUUCCAGCUCUGAUGAAGGCCUCUACAGCUGUGACAUCAGCGGUCAUGGAGAGUCUCCACCCAGCUGGAUCUCUGUCACAGGUGAGGAGCUCCACCUUGAUGUCUGCACUUAUUUCAUCCACAUGUUCAGCUGAAGACAAAAACAGCUCAACGACCGUUCAAAUCCUUUUUAUGAUUUAUUUCAGCUUCACCCACUCCUCCUCCUCCUCCUCCUCCUUCAUCAGCAUCCCCAGGUCCUCCUCCUCGUCCCCUCCUCUGUCUGUGCUGCUGUCUGUCCCCUCCAUGUCUGCUGUGGUGCUGCUGGUUGUCCUGGUUGUGCUGCUGAGACGAUGUGUCUGCAGGAAGCCUGACGGACUCGCAGUGUCGACUGAAGCAGAGGACGGUCCGGUUUCCUCAGCAGAACCAGACCAGACAGGAGACAGUGACCCAGCAGCACUUUACUCCAUCAGAAGACGAACAGACGUCAUUUAUGGAGAAAUCAGCAUCAGGAGCAACACGAGGAGAGAGCUUCCAGCAGAUCCAGCAGUUGUGUACUCCACCCUGAAGCCCGCUCCUUCACAGCUGUGUGAGUCCUCCGAGGAGC